GUCGCCAAGGACUUGUGGGAGGCGCUCGAAUCUAAAUUCGGGGCCGCCGAUGCAGGGAGCGAGAUGUAUAUUAUAGAGCAGUUCCACGAUUACAAGAUGGUUGAAAACCGUCCUGUAUUGGAGCAGGCUCAUGAGAUAAUAUGCAUUGUUAAGGAACUUGAGCUUCUCAAGUGCGAGUUACCGGGCAAGUUUGUCGCGGGCUGCAUAAUCGCUAAUCUCCCUAAUUCCUGGAGGAACUUUGCCACCACUCUGAAACAUCAGAGGCGUGAAUUCUCUGUGGAGGAUGUCAUUGGCCAUCUGAGUGUUGAGCAGAAUUCGAGGGCAAAAGACUCGCACGGAAAAGGGGCCGAAGGGACUUCUGUUGCCAACAUGGUGAACCAGAAGAACUUCAACUCCCACAAGCCCAAGGGAAAGAACGGUGUCCAACACAAUACCGACUUUAAGAAGAAGGGUAAGAAGACCUUCAAGAAGAACAAGAAGGACGAGGGCUGCUUUACUUGUGGUUCGGUUGAACAUUGGGCCAACAAGUGCCCAAACAAGUACAAGAAGUCAGGACAGGACUCCAAGUCUGUCAACAUGAUUGUGGGCAACAAUGAGAAUGGUGCAUCUGGGUACGGUAAUUUAUUUACUGUUUUUUCAGUGUUUCAACCCAACGAUUGGUGGGUGGACACAGGUGCAGGUGUUCAUGUGUGUGCUGACAUUUCAUUGUUCACUUCUUACCAGGUCAUAGGUCAC
Molecule: ribosomal RNA, 735 nt
Filed under: Triticum aestivum (bread wheat)
Lineage: Eukaryota; Viridiplantae; Streptophyta; Magnoliopsida; Poales; Poaceae
Description: partial small subunit ribosomal RNA
Source: RNAcentral